RNAcentral lists this ribosomal RNA (501 nucleotides) under uncultured bacterium. RNAcentral's name for it is "partial 16S ribosomal RNA". It matches the Rfam family "Bacterial small subunit ribosomal RNA", at positions 29 to 523 of the family's 1533-position model. The record is from RNAcentral.
AUUGAACGCUGGCGGCAUGCCUUACACAUGCAAGUCGAACGGCAGCACGGGUGCUUGCACCUGGUGGCGAGUGGCGAACGGGUGAGUAAUACAUCGGAACGUACCUUAUCGUGGGGGAUAGCGCAGCGAAAGCUGUGCUAAUACCGCAUACGCCCUGAGGGGGAAAGCGGGGGAUCGCAAGACCUCGCGCGAUUAGAGCGGCCGAUGCCUGAUUAGCUUGUUGGGGGGGUAAAAGCCCACCAAGGCGACGAUCAGUAGCUGGUCUGAGAGGACGAUCAGCCACACUGGGACUGAGACACGGCCCAGACUCCUACGGGAGGCAGCAGUGGGGAAUUUUGGACAAUGGGGGCAACCCUGAUCCAGCAAUGCCGCGUGAGUGAAGAAGGCCUUCGGGUUGUAAAGCUCUUUUGUCAGGGAAGAAACACCGGCUCUAACACAGUCCGGGAAUGACGGUACCUGAAGAAUAAGCACCGGCUAACUACGUGCCAGCAGCCGCCGUAA